AGCCAUGCGAGUCGUUGUAGCAAUACAAGGCGGACGGCUCAGUAACACGUAGUCAACCUAACCUAUGGACGUGGAUAACCUCGGGAAACUGAGAAUAAACCGCGAUAGAUCAUUAUGCCUGGAAUGGCUUAUGGUCCAAACAAUUUAUUGCCAUAGGAUGGGACUGCGGCCUAUCAGCUUGUUGGUGAGGUAAUGGCCCACCAAGGCUAUAACAGGUACGGGCUCUGAGAGGAGAAGCCCGGAGAUGGGUACUGAGACACGGACCCAGGCCCUAUGGGGCGCAGCAGGCGAGAAAACUUUGCAAUGUGCGAAAGCACGACAAGGUUAAUCCGAGUGGUUUCUGCUAAAGAAACCUUUUGUCAGUCCUAGAAACACUAACGAAUAAGGGGUGGGCAAGUUCUGGUGUCAGCCGCCGCGGUAAUACCAGCACCCCGAGUGGUCAGGACGUUUAUUGGGCCUAAAGCAUCCGUAGCCGGCUCUGCAAGUCUUCGGUUAAAUCCACCUGCUCAACAGAUGGGCCGCUGGAGAUACUACAGAGCUAGGGAGUGGGAGAGGCAGACGGUAUUCAGUGGGUAGGGGUAAAAUCCUCUGAUCCAUUGAGGACCACCAGUGGCGAAGGCGGUCUGCCAGAACACGUUCGACGGUGAGGGAUGAAAGCUGGGGGAGCAAACCGGAUUAGAUACCCGGGUAGUCCCAGCUGUAAACGAUGCAAACUCGGUGAUGCAUUGGCUUAUGGCCAAUGCAGUGCCGCAGGGAAGCCGUUAAGUUUGCCGCCUGGGAAGUACGGACGCAAGUCUGAAACUUAAAGGAAUUGGCGGGGGAGCACCACAAGGGGUGAAGCCUGCGGUUCAAUUGGAGUCAACGCCGGGAA
RNAcentral lists this ribosomal RNA (871 nucleotides) under uncultured archaeon. RNAcentral describes it as "bacterial SSU rRNA". It matches the Rfam family "Archaeal small subunit ribosomal RNA", at positions 47 to 924 of the family's 1478-position model. The record is from RNAcentral.